Molecule: long non-coding RNA, 1832 nt
Filed under: Macaca fascicularis (crab-eating macaque)
Lineage: Eukaryota; Metazoa; Chordata; Mammalia; Primates; Cercopithecidae
Description: lncRNA (ENSMFAG00000062856.1)
Source: RNAcentral
UAAGCAGUGCACCAUGGUUCUUAAGCAUUUUGGGCAGGCCAGGUCAUCAGGGAAAUUUUGGAAGGGGCUGCUGCAGAAUUGUAUCUUGUGUCCCAGGCCUGUUACCAGCAUGUCAAUCAAUGACAAAAAUACAGACAUUGAAAGUAGACAAAGGCUCUUUCAGAUGAUCACAGAAUACGAAAAAGAACAUAAAAAUAUAGAAAGCUGUUUUAUGUCUGCUCAAUGUAACCACUGGUAUUUGUCAUCAACAUUUUUCUCCAUUAGCGCUGCUCUUAAAAUUACGACCUGUUUGUUCAGAGGAGCAAAAGGAAGAGAAAGCAGGAAGCAAUUUGUGACCUGCUUUAAACAUCCAGCUUGAAAUCAUAGCAAAUCUGGUGCCUUGAUGCACUGAUGCCGGGGUACUUCUGAUGAUGGCUAGCCAUUUAGAAUUUUAAGCCAUGGAGGAUUUUGUGUUUCUCAACCAUGAAGAGGUAUAUUUUAAAGAGCAAUUUUUCUUGCCUGCUGUGAAAGAAACCCCUCCCAGGAAGCAAAUAUCUCCUCCGUCAGAUUGGAAUGCACUCAUCCAGAGCCAACUAAGUUUAAGAAAAUUGCAUUUCAGAGCAUGGUCCAUUAUACCCUGCGAACUUACUCUUCUCCGAGGCCUAUGCAACUUGACUAGGGAUCAAUUGGCACUAAUUCUGGGUAGUGCCUGAUAUUCCUAGUGAGCUCCCCCUUCCUCUUCAUCUAUUUAUUCCUACAGUCAGCAUGACAGUAUAAGUUCCCAGUUUACAGAUGAAUUAAGGGUUUGGAGACUUUCUGGUGUCUUCUUUGGGUUCAAAGACAUUCAGUAACAGAGCUUUAUCCAAAUAAAAUAUUUUACUCCUCUUUAUCUCUCUCCUUGUUUGUUCUUUUGAGCUUUUCCAUACAGCCAAGGGCAGAUAACAUGUACAGGCUCUGAAGCUUGAUACCAUUUUUCCAAAUAGCAAUGCCAAGAUUGCUUUCAAAGGAGCUCCAACUUAAAAAUUUGGAGGUUUAUCUGUGAGAAAGAGGCUACGAUACUACAAGAUAUUUUUAUAUUAUCAAGACAAAUGGUCUCACCCAAAACUACCAUAGCUAAUAAAAAUGCCUUUGAAAAAAUAAUAAAAUGGUACCCAACAAGUACCUGGAAGUGAAGCACCACUUAAGAUGAGCUUACUUUGACAUUUAAUCAUUCCAUUUGACCCACAGAUUACUCUGGGUCUUGCAUGUAAGAAAUGCUGCGGAAGCAGGAAGUGUCUGCUUAAAAUACAGGCCUUUGCGGGUUAGCGAAGGUAAUAGGAAACAAGUUCCACAAGUGACAGGAAAUACCAGGGGAGUGAGAGGCUGGGCACUCUCCUAGUGCUGACUGCUCUGCCAAAGAACACACGGCCACAUCCCAGGCAUCUGUGCACACUUGCUUCCAUUUGAGGGAAGGGGGUGACUUGUGUGGUCAAAGACUAGAGGGCUUCCCUCAGAGAGGAAGAAGAAGAAACCCCACAAGAAAAAUGAGGAAUUUCACUUUCAAGCAUUCUAAAAAUAUCACAGCCUGCGACAAAGGGGUAUCAGGACAAAUGGAGAGUAGAGAUAAAGUAUCCAACUGAGGGUGUUGAGAAGGAUGGUGAUAGUUUAGGAAAGGUAAAAAUAGAACCAUUUCUAAGGCUGCUAGACAGGGUAAUUCUUCCCUCAAAAGCAUACCUAUUGAAGGACACUAAACAUUUUUUUUUCUGGUUAAAAGGAGGGGGUCUGUGCUACUCCAGUAGUAAAAGCAUCUCAGUUCUUGUCAUUGACAUUAAUUGAAACAAACGAUGUCUGCACGUGGGGAAAAAAAAAAAAAA